RNAcentral lists this ribosomal RNA (396 nucleotides) under uncultured bacterium. Its description in RNAcentral is "bacterial SSU rRNA". It matches the Rfam family "Bacterial small subunit ribosomal RNA", at positions 29 to 417 of the family's 1533-position model. The record is from RNAcentral.
AACGAACGCUAGCGGUGUGGAUUAGGCAUGCAAGUCGCGCGCGAAAGCCUUCGGGCGAGUAAAGCGGCGAAAGGGUGAGUAACACGUAACCAACGUACCCCUCAGACUGGGAUAACCACUGGAAACGGUGGAUAAUACCGGAUGGUCCACUGGGCAGCAUUGCCUGGCUGGUAAACGGCGGCCGCAAGGCGGUUGCUGAGGGAGCGGGUUGCGGCCUAUCAGCUUGUUGGUGAGGUAACGGCUCACCAAGGCUAUGACGGGUAACAGGUCUGAGAGGAUGAUCUGUCACACUGGGACUGAGACACUGCCCAGACUCCUACGGGAGGCUGCAGUCGAGAAUCUUCCACAAUGGGCGAAAGCCUGAUGGAGCGGACACCGCGUGCAGGAUGAAGGCCU